UAUAUUAAACUCCAGCCAAAAGAGGUAAUCAUUACAUAGUAGUUUAUUACUUAGUUCGGUUAGUUAUAGAGAAGAAUAUUUAUAUUGUAUUUCUUGUACUUUAUUUUUAAUAGCAAGCAUUUUAGUGUAUAACGUACACGUGUUAAAUAAGAAGCAGGAAAAAAAGAUUUAAGUGACACAUACGACAGGACUGUACAUUAACUUUUUAAGCCAUUAGAAAUUGUUUGCUAAUAAGACUUGUCAGCUACAAGUAUAGAUAUAAAACCAUUAAAAUGUUUAAACAAUAUUUGAUAAAUAAUUAAAUAGGUUAAGUGUAGUGUACACAUAUCCAAAGAUACUUUGUAUUGGUAUGAAACCCUGAUUUUAGAGACUUUGAAAUUGAGCAUUAUAUCAACGUUGAUAGGCUGAGAAAGAUAAUCAUUUUCUGAUUGGCUGUUAAGUUACUUCCUUUUGUGCUUCUCAAAAUAAAUGGUUUGAUCAUGGUGAAUUUGAGAAAUUAAUAUCUUUGUUUCACCGCGAACAAGUCAAAACUAAAACAGAUACUCAUCAUUAAGCUACUCGCCCCAUCUGAACACACUUUAGCAACUAGUCCAAAUACAUAUCUUAUGUGUCCCAGGUUAACUUUAAUGUCAAGCUCAGUAGGGAAUUGUUGAUGACCUCAAUCUUUAUGGUUUGUAGUAGAUGCAACACUAAAGACCUGUGUGUGUGAAGCAAAGCCCACAGUGUUGUAGACAUUUAGUCUUUAAAUGACUCUAUGCUAAUUAGUAGCAAUUCUUUAAAUAUUAAGGGUUAAAGUAGCUGUCACAGGCAUAAGAGAAAGAAAAUGCUUGAGAACAAAACACAUUUAUUUUGUAGUUUUUAAACAUUAAAGAAUAAACUUCUGUAUUCUGCUUUAAUGCUUUAAACUGGAAAAAGACUUUCAGGGAUAAAACAUGUUUUGGGGCACCACUUGAAACAAAAUGUGUAAAGGUUCGUUAACAGUUUGUUGAAAAGGUGUUUUAUAUGACAAGAAUCUUAAUUACUGUAUUAAAAAUUAAUAACCCAAACAAGAAGAAAAAAACGUUGUUAAUUGAUGGCAAGGGGUUUUGUUAGCAGUAUUUCACCAUCCAUCAUUGUAUACAUUUACAUACAGUCUUAAAAAUCAAAGGUCACAAGUAACAAACACAAAAAACAACAUUUAAUGAAAGAUAGACCACCUAGAAAUUUGGUCACCUAAAUUUUAUAAAGGCUUAUGUGAAUUGUAGACAUACUUAUAAAAUUAACGUGCCAGAAUUAGAUAUGUCACAUAUAAAAAAUAUAUUAACAAUCACGUUUUGUUCUCCAUUAAACAACAUUUAAUGAAAGAUAGACCACCUAGAAAUUUGGUCACCUAAAUUUUAUAAAGGCUUAUGUGAAUUGUAGACAUACUUAUAAAAUUAACGUGCCAGAAUUAGAUAUGUCACAUAUAAAAAAUAUAUUAACAAUCACGUUUUGUUCUCCAUUAAACAACAUUUAAUGAAAGAUAGACCACCUAGAAACUCGGUCCACUAAAAUUUUAUAAAGGCCUAUGUGAAUUGUAGGCAUACUUAUAAAAUUAACGUGGCAGAAUUAGAUAUGUCACAUAUAAAAAAUAUAUUAACAAUCAUGUUUUGUUCUCCAUUAAACAACAUUUAAUGAAAGAUAGACCACCUAGAAACUCGGUCCACUAAAAUUUUAUAAAGGCCUAUGUGAAUUGUAGGCAUACUUAGAAAAUUAAUGUGGCAGAAUUAGAUAUGUCACAUAUAAAAAAUAUAUUAACAAUCAUGUUUUGUUCUCCAGAUUGUACAAUCUUAACAUUAUAAGUUAUAUAAUUCUGAUAAUAAGUGUUUAUAAUCAACAUAUAUUACAGAUUUUUUUUUCUGUUUAAAAUUCAUCCAGAUACUUUUUGUUAUACAAGUUUCAAAAAGAGUAGCAGUGUUGGGUUUGCAUGAUUUAAAGAUUUUAGAGUAACAAUUUUUAGGGUGCAAUUUGGCUCUGUGGUAGAUCUCUAGAUUUUGGAGCUAGUAAGCUGGUUUUCAAUUGGUGUGAAAGCACACAUUCCCCUCACUUUAAGCUGUGUUUUCAUUAUAAAAGUGAUGGUUCUAGCAUGGAUUGUAAGUGAUAGGUUGCUGCUGAUUGGCUGCCUUCCUUCUGGUCACUAGUUCAAAAUUAGGAACAAUGAAGAUAGCUUUAAUACCUUUGCUAUAAAUACAAAUUCAACUUUGUAUUGUUAAAUAGGGACUUUUAACUUCGACUAAUUGUAAGAAACACUGUUGAGCACUAUUUUAUUUGACAGACAGAAGCUAUUGUUCAACUAUACAAAAUAGUGUUUGAUGUGACCUUACAAAGGUUUAGCAUAAUUUUUAAAUGCAAUGAUGAGCUGUUGUGUUAAAGUUAAAUAAAAAAAAAAUAGUUUACUCCAAUCAGAUUACAACUAUAUAUUUUACAAGAAAUGUACAAAGUUUUUUAAAUUUAGAGAUUAAAUUUUUGUGCAAGCCCUUUAAAUAUUUUAAAUCCUCUCUGUAGAUAUAAAUGAACGUAGUUUGAUCCUAGAUCUCAAAAUUUUAUGUUUAUUUUUGUAUUUUUUGUUAUUUCACAAGCUAUUUAAAGAAUUUAUUUAUUUUUAUGUUGUUUAUUUUAUUAACUCUGGAUGAGACAAAUUGUGGUGAUUACAGAAAGGCAGUAAUAUAUUUUAUUGUUUGUCAACUGUACAGAAGUUGCUUCAGCUUUGCAAAGUUCACUGGGUUUUUAGUCGUAUUUACAUGUUAGUUGUUAGGUGAUUUUACUUACCCUAUCGUGAAAAGUAUUAAACUGGUUUUGUUUUAAGCUUGUUAUUUCUGGCUAAUUCUACAGCUUUCACAUGUUAGUUGCCAAAGGACUGUAAGUGCACAAGUGGAAAACUGAAAAGAAAAAGAUUAAAAGUAUUGUUAUUCAUGCUUUUAAUUAAAAUUAAUGUAUUCUUUAAGUGAUAUAACUUAGUGUACAGAAAAGGAAGGUUUUUGUACUGACAAUGAGUCACGUUCAACAGAAAACAACAGUGGCAAAGAUGUAUCUUUUUCAAGAGAUGCAUAAGUGGUAAGUACCCAUGUUUAGUGACCAUGUACAAUUUUAAACUUAUAAGUGGUAGACAAUUAAAUAAAUACUUUGUCUUUGUGUAUAAUUUUAAAAAGUUACAGUGAUUUUUAUAGUCAUAGAAAAAAGAAGAGAAUCAGACUAAAAUAAUCAGUACGUAAACAUUUUGACAAUUAUAUAUAUUUAGGUUUAUUCUAAAGAUUCCAAGCUUACGCUGUAUACUUUUAGAACCAUUUUAUAAAUGAAAUGGUGUGAAAUAUAAUUAUUGUGUCAAAUAGUGGUAUUGUACGUUAUUGAAGAUGCUUGAGAGUUAAGGUGAAAUUGUACAAACAUAAUAUUGUUAGAUAUAUUUUAUGCUGUUAAUAAAUAUGACAGAAACUUACUAUUCAUUUUAUGGCUUACCACUUUUCUAAGUCAGCUUUUUAACUUACAGAACAACACGAGAAUGUGAAUCUGCUCAUUGAAUUGUGAUUUUUAUUUGAACAAACAGAUUUUGGAAAAUAUCAGGGUCAAAGGUCAAGUGAUUGGUCUUUGUUUUUUGGUCAAAGAGUGGCUGUUAUAUUUCAAAAGUUUGUGCCAAACAGAAUAUGCCAUGUUUAGUUCUUAAAUGGCUGUACAUGACAUUUAUGUUUUGAGAGCUUCUUCUGGAGUUAAGUUCUUAUGAUUCAAUUUUUCUUUAUCAAAUUAGCAGCUGUAGGAUCCUUUAAUUUAUAUAAAAAAGACAGACAUAAGAUUAUGAUCACAAACAUAAUGAAAAAAGCAUGCCUGUUUCCACUAUACUAUAGGAUUCAGCUUCACCUUACUAAAAUAUGCUACGUAUUGAUGGUAAAAUUUAAAUGUUUUCCCAUGUAAUGCUGUGAACUAAUUGGCCCUUCACCUAUAAGUAACCAUUUGUUGUACUUGUUGUCUAGUGUUACUAGAAGUUGCAUUCCUUGUUGGUCUUCGCAAUUUUAUAAAAACAAGUUUGUCAUUUUGUAAUAAGACGAAAUUUGAAAAAAAAAUGUUUCAGAAUGUGAAUUUUUAAAUGAUAAACCUCACAAUCUUGGUGCCAGUUUACUGGUUAAGUAAAUGAUUUUGCUAAGAAAGAGAUGCUUUGUUUUUUACAUGAUAUAGUGAGAGUUGCAAUAUUAUAUUGCUGUUUUUAUUGUAAUGUUUUUUCCUUAUAAUCCUAUCCUUGUGUGUUUUAUGUUUCACGAUACUUUUAUUUCAUCAAGUUUUAAAAUGAACCAAAAAUGUCUAGAGUGCUAAACGUUGUUAUUAUUUUACAAUUGUGGUGCAAUCAAGCCAAAAAUAACUCUAGAAAAACACAUAUAAACUGAUUAAAUGUCAUUAUUUUUUGUUAAUUAUGGCAAACAAGUCUGUUUAAGAACAAAACUAAUAGGUAGAUAGUUUUUUUUCUACACGUGCAUUAUGAUGAAAGCUUGACAUAGAGGAAAUUCUAAGUAUGUUCAUUUAACACACUUUUCUGACUAGGAAAAUCCUCUGUUCUUUACAUAAAAGUAAACUAUUUGUAUAAGAAGCUUUUUCCAAAGUAACAGAUAUUUAAGACCAGUUUAAUAAAUAGAUGUCUAAUGUACUUGAACGUUAACCAUAGCGUGUUUGGUAAUUGAACUAUUAUUAAAAUUCAUGGUGAUGUCAUCUAAAUGUGAACAAAUAUAGUAUUUACACUUUUUUUUUGUAUAAUAUCUUGGCAAAUAUUUAUAAUCAACAAAUUUUUCUUCCAAAAAUGUAUAUAUUACCCAGGAAAUAAAUUAAUGUGGAAAUAAUAGAUACUAGUCUGUAUCACAUUCUAUGUUCUAAAAAAACAGUGUAUCUACAAAAAAUUAGUUUUAAAUUCUUAAAAAUAAUUCCAAACUUAUUUAUUUUUCAAUUUACAUAUUGUCAACAAUAGAUUGUUUCACAUACUAAUUGGUUUUAGGCAUAGUAGACAGUGCGUUUAUUUAUGAAUUUUGUAUAAUUUGUAUUUGGAACUUGUUAGGAAAUUAAAAAUUUGCAUAUAACCUUGAUCAAUAGGCUUUUGGUCUGGAUGUUUCAAGUUUUAUUUCAUUUGCUGUGACGAUUUUGAUAAGCUCUGAAGUUUUGAAUGAUCUGAAAUAAUAUAUAUUAAACAACAAUUUUUAAUAAUGCUGCAUAAAGUACAUUGUUUAUUGUAAGGACCAAGUUUAUUAGUACACUUCGCUGUAUUAAAGCAUCUUUGUUUUUAGGAUAAAUAAGGUUUGAAUCUCAAAAUUCAGUUCAGUGUCACAGAAGUCACAUUUCACAAGGUCAGAUUCCUUUAAGCACAAAGUUCUUAAUUUGCCAAGUGCUGUUCUUGUCAUAUGAAUGAAAACUGAUGAACCUGGUGUUUGUAUAAAACAUUAUAAUCUGGUUUAUUGUUGAAAUUAAUCAUAUAUUUCCUCACAAUUUUGAUUUUCUGUGAUACUGAACACAUUUCCUUAAAGGUCCUGUGGUUUAUGUGGGAUUUCAUAAUUGUUGUAGUUUUCCCGAGACAUUUGUUCAGAUAUCAUUGCCUAGAAGAGAGAAUUCUAGUUUCUUCAAACUGCAUUUUGUUUGUUCAAUUUGUCAGUGUUUGUAUUCAUGCAUUCUUUAGGUCACUGUUGUAAAUUUCAUUGUGAAAGAUGUUAUAUUUUAAUAAAUUUUUUCUCGGA
Long non-coding RNA from Limulus polyphemus (Atlantic horseshoe crab), 5717 nucleotides. RefSeq lists it as uncharacterized. Lineage: Eukaryota; Metazoa; Arthropoda; Merostomata; Xiphosura; Limulidae. The transcript has 2 exons. The record is from RefSeq and is a predicted model, not a curated record.